CCUACGGGAGGCAGCAGUGAGGAAUAUUGGUCAAUGGACGAGAGUCUGAACCAGCCAAGCCGCGUGAAGGAUGACUGCCCUAUGGGUUGUAAACUUCUUUUAUAUGGGAACAAAACAGGGUACGCAUACCCCCUCGGAUGCACCAUAUGAAUAAGCAUCGGCUAACUCCGUGCCAGCAGCCGCGGUAAUACGGUGGAUCCGGGCGUUAUCCGGAUUUAUUGGGUUUAAAUGGUGGGUAGGGGGGUUGUUAAGUCGGUUGGAAAAGCUGGGGGCUCAACCGUAAAAUUGCAGUUGAAACUGGCAGUCUUGAGUGCAGUAGAGGUGGGCGGAAUUCGUGGUGUAGCGGUGAAAUGCUUAGAUAUCACGAAGAACUCCGAUUGCGAAGGCAGCUCGCUGGACUGCAACUGACGCUGAGGCGCGAAAGUGUGGGUAUCGAACAGGAUUAGAUACCCGAGUAGUC
Molecule: ribosomal RNA, 460 nt
Filed under: uncultured bacterium
Lineage: Bacteria
Description: partial 16S ribosomal RNA
Rfam family: Bacterial small subunit ribosomal RNA
Source: RNAcentral